UGUAAAUAUUUCAUCCAUUUGUACUACUAAAAUUAGUGUGGCCAAUAGAAUAACAAAAUAGUUACACAUGAUGUGUCACAUGUGCCUUAUUUUUACGUAUAGAGACCUAUCUUUAAUUAUAGAAAAGGAUGGAAUUUUUAACA
Gossypium raimondii (Peruvian cotton) is the source of this 143-nucleotide non-coding RNA. The record is from Rfam. Lineage: Eukaryota; Viridiplantae; Streptophyta; Magnoliopsida; Malvales; Malvaceae.